CCCUUAGAUGUUCUGGGCCGCACGCGCGCUACAAUGAUGAAUUCAACGAGUUUAUAACCUUGGUUGAAAAGCCUGGGUAAUCUUUUGAACUUUCGUCGUGAUGGGGCUAGACCCUUGCAAUUAUUGGUCUCCAACGAGGAAUUCCUAGUAAACGCAAGUCAUCAGCUUGCAUUGAUUACGUCCCUGCCCCUUGUACACACCGCCCGUCGCACCUACCGAUUGAAUGGUCCGGUGAAAUCUUCGGAUUGAGACUUUGAUUUCUUCACGGAAAACGCUGUUUUAAAAAGUUGAUUAAACCUUACCAUUUAGAGGAAGGUGAAGUCGUAACA
RNAcentral lists this ribosomal RNA (329 nucleotides) under uncultured eukaryote. RNAcentral's name for it is "partial 18S ribosomal RNA". It matches the Rfam family "Eukaryotic small subunit ribosomal RNA", at positions 1470 to 1796 of the family's 1831-position model. The record is from RNAcentral.